This 1055-nucleotide long non-coding RNA is filed under the name Malus domestica (apple). RNAcentral describes it as "long non-coding RNA (MDOM_LNC007746)". Lineage: Eukaryota; Viridiplantae; Streptophyta; Magnoliopsida; Rosales; Rosaceae. The record is from RNAcentral.
UCUCACGCAUUUUUCCUUAGACUAUGGAUUUUGUCCCUACUUGGGUAUUUGCCAUAGCCUUAGGGUUUUUAGUGAGACUUACUACUUAUGCAAAUUCCUACCUUAUUGAGAAUAAGCGUUGUUCCUUGGAAUCAGUGCCAACGAGUCGACUUCCUCAACUUCUGCAUGAUGCUGAAUCUACCUUGAGUAUUUACACACUCAAGGGGGAGUGUUGUAAACAUUCCUAGUUUAAGUAUGAUUGUGUAAAUCCUAGAUAAGAUUUGAUUAUAGUUAUCCUUUCCUAUUACAACUUGUAUUACUUGGAGGAGAAGGAAUAUUUUCUCUCCCUUUACUACUAUAAAUAAAGGCACAAUGUAGGAGGGAUAACAACACACACAUUCCCCUACAAUUCUACAAACACACAUCUCUCUCCUCUCUCUCUCUGCCGCCGGCCCUAGUCCCUCUGUCAGAUAAAAUAGACCACAACACUAAGGCUAAUUUUUUUUUUUAAAAUUAACUUUUAAAAAAAAUUAUGUAGAGUAUACUAAAUUAAUUUUAUGAACAUUUUAACCUAAAAAUAUUUAAAUUCCGAUAAAUUUUGAAAAAUCACUAAAUCAAUACAUGAAAAUCAUGAUAAACCACAUAAACUUAAAAAAAAAAGACAAUUAAUAAACCACAUAAACUUAAUACAAUCGAAAACUCAUAGACUACAUAAACCUAAUAAUGAUAUCCAUCAUCUUGACUUGGUGGUGGACUUGGGUGAUAGUCUUAAGAUGAAUCAUCAUCUUGAAAUAUACUUCUUGUGGCAUUCCUUCAUAAAAUUUCUUUUUGCUUACCACGUAAGUAUCUCUUCCUCUCUGAAGUGUAUUUAUCGAGGUCCUCCAUUAUCAAAUUAGUUUCGUACCUUUCUUGCUCCCUAUCCCCUUCUUGCUUCAUGGCCAAAAACAUUUGGGCCGAUUCUUCUUGCCGACGACAUUGGUUUUCGUUCAUUCUUGCCAUUUCGCUAACAAAUUGUGCAUGUAUCGGAUCUUGGGACUUCCCUUUUCUCUUUGCUUCCUUUGUCUUAUCUCUACCCG